Molecule: long non-coding RNA, 362 nt
Organism: Penaeus chinensis
Lineage: Eukaryota; Metazoa; Arthropoda; Malacostraca; Decapoda; Penaeidae
Exons: 3
Source: RefSeq, a predicted model, not a curated record
GUUUGUGCGUGUGUGUGUGUGUGUGUGAUUGUGUAUGUGUGUGUGUGUGUGUGUGUCUAAAACUGUUAUUAACUCAAUGUACAUGUCGGUGAAUAUAUCUAAUUCAUAUAUAUCACAGAUCAACGACAUCAUCUGAUCAACACCCAAAAACUAAGACAAUGAUUCUGCUUUUUGUCGCAAUCUACAUGCUCGUGCUAAUCAUGGUGGCCACGGGAAUGGGCCUCCUUGUGAUGGGCAAAUCCGUCGGCGCCGUCACCACCUUCGUUGCUCUGGGGCUCGUGACUUUCGCGUUGGCCUCGGCCUUGCAGCUCCGGUCGUGGCUCCUGACGUCUUAUGGCACCCCCCCCCCCCUGGGCCCACCG